GGGGUUGUGGUUCAGUGGUAAACUGCUUACCUAGCAUGCAUGAAGCACUGGGUUCAAUUCUCAGCACCACA
RNAcentral lists this transfer RNA (71 nucleotides) under Marmota monax (woodchuck). RNAcentral's name for it is "tRNA.Ala". Lineage: Eukaryota; Metazoa; Chordata; Mammalia; Rodentia; Sciuridae. The record is from RNAcentral.